AGCAGCCGCGGUAAUUCCAGCUCCAAUAGCGUAUAUUAAAGUUGUUGCAGUUAAAAAGCUCGUAGUUGAAUUUCGGGAUCAAUAUGUUGGUCGUGCCUUGGUACGUACUGGCAUCAUUGGUUUCUACCUUCUGAAGAACCCCGAUGUCAUUAAUUUGGUGUCGUGGGGAAUCAGGACUGUUACUUUGAAAAAUUAGAGUGUUUAAAGCAAGCUAACGCUUGAAUACAUUAGCAUGGAAUAAUGAAGUAGGACGUUUGAUCCUAUUUUAUUGGUUUCUAGGAUCGACGUAAUGAUUAAUAGGGAUAGUUAGGGGCAUUAGCAUUCAAUUGUCAGAGGUGAAAUUCUUGGAUUUAUUGAAGACUAACUACUGCGAAAGCAUUUGCCAAGGAUGUUUCAUUAAUCAAGAACGAAAGUUAGGGGAUCGAAGACGAUCAGAUACCGUCGUAGUCUUAACCAUAAACUAUGCCGACUAGGGAUCGGAUGAUGUUAAUUUUUAAUGACUCAUUCGGCGCCUUAAC
This 518-nucleotide ribosomal RNA is filed under the name uncultured Glomus. RNAcentral's name for it is "SSU rRNA". It matches the Rfam family "Eukaryotic small subunit ribosomal RNA", at positions 569 to 1092 of the family's 1831-position model. The record is from RNAcentral. Lineage: Eukaryota; Fungi; Glomeromycota; Glomeromycetes; Glomerales; Glomeraceae.